Molecule: long non-coding RNA, 593 nt
Organism: Chaetura pelagica (chimney swift)
Lineage: Eukaryota; Metazoa; Chordata; Aves; Apodiformes; Apodidae
Exons: 3
Source: RefSeq, a predicted model, not a curated record
AGUGGGAAGAGGGGCGGGACAGAGCGAUGCUGCCUGAACUGACAGCAAAUUUAAAUUACUGAGCUUUCUUUUCCUUUUUUUUUUUUUUUCCUUUUCCUUUCUUUGCGUGCCUUUUUUUAUUUUAUUUCUUUUUCUUUUUGGUAUUUUUCUACCCUGCGACAAAGUGAAAAGAUUCUAGCACACGCUAAUUUAACAGCCCUGCUUCGUCGUCUUCUUUUUUCUUUUUUUUUUCCCCCUUCUGCUUCCAGGAUAAUUAAAAGAGAAACCUGUAAAGGCAACGUUUCUUCAAGCAAGUUGGUGCUGCAACGUGCUGAUAUUCAGCUCUUUUCAACAGAAUAACAAGAAGUAGCUCAGCAAAGAAGAAGAGAGCAGGUGUGGAAGGCAGGGAAGAACAGUGGGACUCCUUCAAGACAGGAAAAAAAUCCUCUCCGGCAUGGGGAGACAAAGAAAGAAUAAGUUGCUUUGCUACCAAUGCCUACAGUGGAGGAGAUAAACUACAUUCCCACCAGCAGUUCUGUCUCUUUUUCCAUGCACCUCAUUUUUUGCAUAAGAGAAAAUUAUACUUUGUCAUGCUGUAUUAAAGAUAAUUAUCU